Molecule: long non-coding RNA, 4151 nt
Filed under: Canis lupus familiaris (dog)
Lineage: Eukaryota; Metazoa; Chordata; Mammalia; Carnivora; Canidae
Description: lncRNA (ENSCAFG00845002119.1)
Source: RNAcentral
UGUUUUUUUUAAAUAUUUAUUUUUAUUUAUUCAUGAUAGACACAGAGGGAGAGAGGCAGAGACACAGGCAGAGGGAGAAGCAGGCUCCAUGUCGGGAACCCGAUGUGGGAUUAGAUCCCGGGACUCCGGGAUCGCGCCCUGGGCCAAAGGCAGGCGCGAAACCGCUGAGCCACCCAGGGAUCCCCUAAAUGUUUUAUUUAUUUAAGUAACCUCUAGACCCCACAUGGGGCUUGAACUCACAACCCCCGAGAUCGAGAGCCACAUGCUCCAUCAACUGAGCCAGCCAGGUGCCCCUCAAAGAUGUUCUUUAAACUAUUGUUACAGUUCUUAGAACCUUAAUAUAAACCUAACAAUAGGGUAAAUGGAACUAUAAAACAUUUUCUUGAUACGUAAAUGAUGUCAUAACACUGGAAUAGGAUAUGUACUCUAACGAUUACAAAUAUGUAGGUUAAAUAUGUUCAGUCAUAAUAAUAUAUAACAUUUAUUGUCUACUGAAUAUAUGGCAGGCAAUGUGUCAGAUCCUUUGUAGGCAUUGCCUCCUUUGGUGUGCUUGCUAGAAUAAGCUAGAUUUAAUUUUUUUUCUCUAUUUUACAGAUGAGGAAAGGGGAAGAUUAAUUGGAUUAUCUGAGGUCAAACUGUUAGUGUGAGAUUUGAACCCCAUCCUGGUUGACUGUAGAACUCACACUCUUAACUUAUCAUUCCUCAUGAUAUGUGGAUAAUUUUAAGUAAAAAACAAAUAUUAGCCACCAACACCCACCCUGCAACAAAGUUACCCCAAAACUCCAAACCAGAAACAACCCAGCACCAACAAACACAAAUCUGACAAGCUCUAUUCUUCUUGUAAUCACAUGGAAAAAUAAAUAACAAAGCUUAGACCAAGAGAAAUAGCCCAAGUUGAAAAAGCUUAUCUGCAACCCGCCAAUAAAAUGACAGAGUGUUCUUUGUCCCACGAUUGGCGAAUGUUCUUUCGUUAGGGGUUCAGACACCAAUGCCAUUUCUUCAGAGCAUUGUCUACACCUGCAUAGGGUUUGUAAAGAUGAAAAAAAUGCAUGACACACAUCACCAAGAAUCAGGGGUUGUGCCUGGCAAUGCAAUUGAGAAAAGCUUUGGAAUGAACUCCCCCUGGGCAGUGGUCUCUGCCUUCUGUUACAGAAGACGGCAAAAAUAGGAGCCGGUGUACCUCUGGCCAAUUAUUCAAUGCUCCAUCACAAGGGGAAAUUCCUUCCUCACCCCAGCUGGUGAACAGUUAUGCCCUGGAGCCCAGGACGGACAUGCCUUGUAACUUUUUAACCUGGUUAGUGUAACUGCCAAUAUUAUUCCUAUUCAUAUAAAUGUCUAAUCCUUUCUUGAAUCUUGCUAGACUAUUUGCCUCAAUAAUAUCCUGCGGCAGUGAAUUCCACAGGUAGAUUAUACGCCGUUUUAAAAAGUAUUUCCUUUUAUUCAUUUUAAAUUUGUUACCUUUUAACGUCACAAGAUGUCCCUUGUUCUUGCAUUAAGGGCUACAGGGUACAGGCAUUGGAAAUUCAGCUUUAAUUUUUCGAAGCAUUCCACCAUUAUUAAAGCUCCAUCUUCUUCAUAUUGUUUCCUAUUUUGGCAUAUCUGAUCUUGAUUCAAUGAGAUGAUUGAGGUAAAUGGUCUCAUACUACUUCAGACACAUAGUAGGCACUAGAAGAAAGGUCUCCUUGAUAUUUGAUGCCAUUUAUUGGACACAUGUUUAUUGAGCACCUACUGUGUGCGGGAAUUGUAAAUAUUGGAGAGACAGCUUUGAGUGAGACAGAGUCCUUGUUCUGAAAGCUCUAAUUUUCUAGAGAAGAUAAGCACCAAUAAAGUGAAUAAGGAUGAACUACAUGGUUUUGGGUGGACUUAAGUCCUACGGGAAAAUUUGACAAGAGUGACUGGCAGAGGAUGGGCAGGAGCCACUUCAGAUUGCAUGGUCAGGGAGGAGGUUUCUGAAAAGGGGAUGGUUGAGUUGGCCAUCAAGGUAUCAUAUAUAUGACAUCUCCAUGAAGGUGAACCCACGUUCCUAGACACUGCUUACCAUGAGGUGAGAUUCCAUCCUUAUUUGUUGAGUGAAUGAAUGAAUCAAGUUGAGGAGGGAAAUCAUAGUUUCAGAAAUCAUUCAAUAAGUUACUCAUAGACCUAGGAGUAACAUUUCUUAAAUCCCUAUGCUCUGUAACUUCAAAGACUGUUGGGGUAGAAAAAACAGGGGAUUUAGUUAGUUAGACUUGCUAUCAAGCCCUUCUCAGGUACCCAGCUACUCCCCUUAUAUGACCUUGGGGGGUGUCUUUUCCAAAGUGAUCUCAUUUAGAAAAAUGGCUUUCCUUGGGGUCCCUGGGUGGCUCAGUUGUUUAAGCAUCCGCCUUCAGCUCAGGUCAUGAUCCUGGGGUCCUGGGAUCGAACCCCGUGUGGGGCUCCCUGCUCGGUGGGGAGUCUCCUCCCUCUGCUGCUCUCCCUCCUUGUGCACAUGCUCUCUCUGUCUCUGUCAACUAAAUAAAUAAAAUUUUAACAAAAUUUCCUUUCUUCAUGGGUUUUGGAGCAUUGGAGAUAAAAUUAUAUAGCAGCUAGUACUUUACAAACCACCCAAUGGUCAGUCAUUCUGGAGGGAACCGGGUGUUCUCAGCUCUGCGCACCGUUUCUUUCCUCUGGCCUUUUCCCUCCUGGUUUUCUCUGUUCCCAAUUUUUAUCCUUGCCUCUGCCUAAAGUUCAUCAGUGGCAUCCGUGGUACUUAGCUUUCUGACCCAGAACUGGCUUACGUGAGAGUGGUGGCAGAAGGGAGUUUACCUUUGUGAAAUAUUGCCUAUUUUUUAAGGGCUUUAAAAAAUGAAAUCAGGUGGGGGUGCCUGGGUGGCUCAGUCAGUUAAGCAUCCUACUACUUGAUUUCAGCUUAGGUCUUGAUCUCAGGGUUGUGAGUUCAAGUCUCACACUGGGCUCCAUGCUAGGCAUGGCACUUACUUUUAAAAAAAAUUGAAAAGAUAAGAAUAAAAAAAUAAAAUGGAAUCAGGUGGAGCUGCUGUUUGUUGAAACGGAGGACCAGAGGUGUAUUUCCAAUAGCGAUUGUUUGCUUUCAUUUUGAAUACUGCUUGGUCUUCCAGAAUCAGGUAAACCAAAUUUCUUUAAAAAUUUUUUUUAAAGAUUUUAUUUAUUUGUUCAUGAGAGACACACAGAGAGAGGCAAGGACACAGACAGAGGGAGAAGCAGGCUCCCUGCGGGAAGCCAAAUACAGGUCUCGAUCCCAGGACCCCAGGAUCAUGUCCUGAGCUGAAGGCAGACGUUCAACCGCUGAGCCACCCAGACCCCCCAGUUAACCAAGCUUCAAUGCACAAAGACAGAGGCUGUGCCUGAAUUUCUGAAGGGAUCCUUCCCCCAGAAAGUGGAGGCUUUGGUUGAAAUGAUCUGAUUACCUGCUUGGAGCUUCCCUCUGUGUUCUAGCAUGAUAGGUAUAUAGCAUUUCCUCAUGCUUCCUCUUGUUAUUUUUUCUAAUUGCCCCUUAAUUUACUUUUUUUUUUUUUCCAUUUAGGCAAUUUGAAGUAGAAGCAUGUGCAGCUCUGCAUAAUAAUGUAUUAGAAAGGCAUUUCAAGGAAUAAAUUAUUAGCAUUGUUUACAUGGAUGGUUCAAAUUUACUGGCAAAUUGCUCAGGCCUCAGUUUUACGAGGUAGCUGCCAGCUCGGCUCCUUCUGGGUAAAACCCUGAAAUUGGAGAAGUUUCCUUUUGGUUUCCCUCACCCACACGUCCUCUGCCUCCUUCCUCCCCUUUCAACGCCUCCCUGGGUUCCCACCCCCACAGAACUCCGUGGAAGGCUCGGGCCUUUUGCACCUUCACGUGCAGACAUUUCGUGGGCUCUACCCCCGCGCCAGGCCGACCCCCGGCGGAAGUGAGGUGUGCGGAGGAAUAAAUGUUCAAUGGUAUAAUUUUAGUUGCUGUGGCAACUGGGAAGGGCGGCUAUUUUGGGCUGUGGGCCUUUCUCCUUGACCUGAGAUGAUGUUACUCUGCCGGCCGCUGGCGCGCUGGGCCAACCCUGCCCGCGGUCCUCGCAGCCACGUGCCUGACAUUCCUGGGGGAUGCUUCUUCCUUUCUCCCCGAGCCCUUCUGUGCUCCUCCAGGGCUGUGUGCAUUAGUGCAAGAGCACGCAUCUGUCCACGUGUGCCCACCUG